AUCAAAGUUGAUGAGGUUACGGAUGAAAAUAUGUAUGUAAAGAAGUAUGAAGUACUUGUUGGCUAAUUAGUUAGUUGGAUAUCCGUUGCACAGAGAAUGGCCCUUCUUGUCCACCUCAUGCCCUGCCAUUUUUCUUCGUUAUUUUUUCUGAUUUUUCCAGUGUUCUUCAACUUCAAUGGCUAUCUGUUGGAUGAAAUCUUUGGUUUUCGAAUUGACUUUUCUUAUACAUUGAUAAUAAUUGCAAGUUCUUUUCUUCCCUUGCUUUGAAGAGUUCAGACCACAUGUUUUAUAUAUCUUAUCCUUUUUCAUGUAUCAAUUCAAAUAUCUUUGAAGCGAUGUGGGCUUAAGAAUAUGAUAUAUCUUGGUGGAAGGUGAUCCAAAUUCCUCAGAGGCAGCUGAAAGCAUCAAAACGGCUUGCUUCACGACUGAGAUCUUGGAGGGUUACUCAAUCAAUCAACCAAUACUACAGAUCUCUAGAUACCACGCAACAGUGCAUUGGUGGAUGCCCUCCUUUUGAUGAAUUUAUCAAAAGGUGUGAAGACUUGGAUAAAAUGAAUGUAUUCGGUAUCCAGCUCAUGCAGGUUUCCCAGGUAACAGAGGAAAUUGCUCUUGCUGUUUUAGAUAUGUACCCAACAUUGUUGUCUCUUGCUUGUGCCUAUUCUCUUCUGGAGGGUGAUGAUACAGCACAAGAGGAAAUGCUCAAAAGGCAGAGCAACCAGUGUGCCCGCCAGCAAAAACAUAUUCCAAUUAAUUUGGGGUGGUUAAAGUAGAGUACUAUGUAUUAAUAUAUGGGAUUUGUCAAGGUUGUAAAGAUGCAAGAGAAAAGGAUGCCUUGCCAAUGUUUCUUCUAUAUCAUCCGCAGUGGUUUUGAUUCGUUUGCUGGUAAAAUUUAUGUACUACUACUAUAUCCUUUCCCUUAAAUGCCUAUGUGGUUUUACUUUCAA
Salvia splendens (bonfire salvia) is the source of this 944-nucleotide long non-coding RNA. RefSeq lists it as uncharacterized. Lineage: Eukaryota; Viridiplantae; Streptophyta; Magnoliopsida; Lamiales; Lamiaceae. The transcript is spliced from 4 exons. The record is from RefSeq and is a predicted model, not a curated record.